Molecule: transfer RNA, 59 nt
Filed under: Halobacillus halophilus DSM 2266
Lineage: Bacteria; Bacillati; Bacillota; Bacilli; Caryophanales; Bacillaceae
Rfam family: tRNA
About the family: Transfer RNA (tRNA) molecules are approximately 80 nucleotides in length. Their secondary structure includes four short double-helical elements and three loops (D, anti-codon, and T loops). Further hydrogen bonds mediate the characteristic L-shaped molecular structure. tRNAs have two regions of fundamental functional importance: the anti-codon, which is responsible for specific mRNA codon recognition, and the 3' end, to which the tRNAs corresponding amino acid is attached (by aminoacyl-tRNA synthetases). tRNAs cope with the degeneracy of the genetic code in two manners: having more than one tRNA (with a specific anti-codon) for a particular amino acid; and 'wobble' base-pairing, i.e. permitting non-standard base-pairing at the 3rd anti-codon position.
Source: Rfam by way of RNAcentral
UAGUUUAAACAUUUAGAGCAACAGCCUUCUAAGCUGUGGGUAGGGAGUUCGAAUCUCUC